AUGGUCUAGUGUUUGACACACUGUCCUAGACUUUCCUACAAUACAGCCUCUAACAAAACUAGGAUGUCUUGAACCCUUGGCAAUAGGAUUGUUUACCUUCAUACCAAGAAGGUUGGGAAAGCUCCUAAAUCUGCUUACUGUAUGUGCUCAGACAGACUUUGCGGGGUUCAUGCUUUAUAGAUUGUCUAAGACUAGGAAACACGCCAGCGGGACUGUGGUGCUUCCGUGUGUGCCAAGUGUGUCCGUGACGGGAUCAAGCAGGCUUUUCUUAUUGAGGAGCAGAAAAUUGUUGUGAAAGUUUUGAAGGCACAAGCACAGAGUCAGAAAGCAAGA
Molecule: long non-coding RNA, 333 nt
Filed under: Mus musculus (house mouse)
Lineage: Eukaryota; Metazoa; Chordata; Mammalia; Rodentia; Muridae
Description: long non-coding RNA chr2:92233104-92233437
Source: RNAcentral